RNAcentral lists this ribosomal RNA (1246 nucleotides) under Dromaeolus sp. ZM-2022. RNAcentral describes it as "16S ribosomal RNA". The stretch from base 1022 to 1180 matches the Rfam family "Archaeal large subunit ribosomal RNA", at positions 2542 to 2701 of the family's 2987-position model. The record is from RNAcentral. Lineage: Eukaryota; Metazoa; Arthropoda; Insecta; Coleoptera; Eucnemidae.
UAAUAUAAAUUUACUUUAUUUAUUUUUUUAGAAUUAUAGGUUUUUUAGUUUGUUUAUAAAUAAUUUUUUUUGUUAUAGUUAAUUAGUAAAGAAAUUGAAUAUUUAAGUUAAUUUUUAAGAAAAAUUUAUUUUUUGUACCUUGUGUAUCAGGGUUUAUUAAAUAAAAAUUAUAAAAUUAAUUUUCUCGAAUUAAUAAGAUUUAAUUUUCUAUAAAUUUAAUUGUUGAAUAAAUUUUUAUAAUAGAAAAUUUGAAAUGAAAUGUUAGUCGUUUUUUAAUAUAUCUAGUUCUUUAAGAAAUAAAUUUAAUUUAAUAUUUAUUUAAACAUUAUUUUUUUAUAAAAUUGGGGUUUUAAUUAAGUUUAAAUAUUUAAGGAGAUAAGUUUUUAAAUAUAUUUCUAAAAAAGUUUGUUUUAAAAAAUUAGUAUGAUUAGAAUUUUUUAUCUUUGGAAGUGUUUUAUAAUUUAUUUUUUUUUAUUAAAGAUUUUUAUAUUUUUUAGGUUUUUAUUAAAGAUUUUAAUUAAAUUUUAUAAUUUUAGAUAUAAUGAUAAAAUUAGUAUAUAUUUUUUUAUUGAGUAAUUUGUUUUGAUAGGUUAUUUUAAAGAAUUAGGCAAAAAUUUUUUCGCCUGUUUAUUAAAAACAUGUCUUUUUGAUUUAUGAUUUAAGGUUUAAUCUGCCCAGUGAAAUUUUAAAUGGCUGCGGUAUUUUGACCGUACAAAGGUAGCGUGAUAAUUAGUUUUUUUAUUGGAAACUGGUAUGAAGGAUUGGACGAGAAAAAUUCUGUUUCAAUAAAAUUUUAUUAGAAUUUUAUUUCUAAGUGAGAAAGCUUAGAUUUUUUUAUUGGACGAGAAGACCCUAUAGAGUUUAAAAUUUUAUUUUAGUAUAGAAAAAAGGUAUUCAAGUAUUUUUAAAAUUAAAUUUUUGAUUGGGGUGAUUAAAAGAUUUAAUAAACUCUUUUUUUAUUUACAGAGAUUUCUGGAAAUUUGAUCCAUUUAUUUUGAUUAUAAGAUUAAAUUACCUUAGGGAUAACAGCGUAAUUUUAUUAAAAAGUUCUUAUUAAUUAUAAAGAUUGCGACCUCGAUGUUGGAUUAAAAUUUAGUUUUGGUGCAAAAGCUGAAAUGUUGAGUCUGUUCGACUUUUAAAAUUUUACAUGAUCUGAGUUUAAACCGGUGUGAGCCAGGUUGGUUUCUAUCCUUAAAUUUUUAAAUUAUGUUAGUACGAGAGGACCAUAUAUUUUAUAAAUUAUUUA